UAGCUCAGUUGGUAGAGCAUAGUGUUUGCAACGCCAGGGUUGUGGGUUCGAUUCCCAC
Molecule: non-coding RNA, 58 nt
Organism: Salmo salar (Atlantic salmon)
Lineage: Eukaryota; Metazoa; Chordata; Actinopteri; Salmoniformes; Salmonidae
Source: Rfam